Molecule: ribosomal RNA, 305 nt
Filed under: uncultured bacterium
Lineage: Bacteria
Description: bacterial SSU rRNA
Rfam family: Bacterial small subunit ribosomal RNA
Source: RNAcentral
GCUACGGGGGGCAGCAGUGGGGAAUAUUGGGCAAUGGGCGCAAGCCUGACCCAGCAACGCCGCGUGAAGGAAGAAGGCUUUCGGGUUGUAAACUUCUUUUGUCAGGGAACAAAGGCGGGGACUAGUCCCCGGAUGAGGGUACCUGAAGAAAAAGCAUCGGCUAACUCCGUGCCAGCAGCCGCGGUAAUACGGAGGAUGCGAGCGUUAUCCGGAUUUAUUGGGUUUAAAGGGUGCGCAGGCGGCCUGUUAAGCCAGCGGUAAAAGCCCGGGGCUCAACCCCGGCGAGCCGUUGAAACUGGCGGGCG